This is a non-coding RNA of Salmo salar (Atlantic salmon), 54 nucleotides long. NCBI's taxonomy places the organism in Eukaryota, Metazoa, Chordata, Actinopteri, Salmoniformes, Salmonidae. The record is from Rfam.
UGCAUUCACUACUGUAAGUCGCUCUGGAUAAGAGCAUAUGAUAAAUGACUAAAA